This 486-nucleotide ribosomal RNA is filed under the name uncultured bacterium. Its description in RNAcentral is "partial 16S ribosomal RNA". It matches the Rfam family "Bacterial small subunit ribosomal RNA", at positions 30 to 523 of the family's 1533-position model. The record is from RNAcentral.
AUUGAACGCUGGCGGCAUGCCUUACACAUGCAAGUCGAACGGCAGCACGGGAGCAAUACAUCAGUGGCAAACGGGCGAGUAAUGUAGAGGAAUCUCCCCAACAGUAAGGAAUAACCCUGGGAAACCAGAGCUAAUACCAUAUAUUACCGGCCUAGCCGGGAAAGAUUUAUCGCUAAUAGAUGAGCCUAAGUCGGAUUAGCUAGUUGGUGGGGUAAAGGCCUACCAAGGCGACGAUCUGUAGCGGGUCUGAGAGGAUGAUCCGCCACACUGGGACUGAGACACGGCCCAGACUCCUACGGGAGGCAGCAGUGGGGAAUAUUGGACAAUGGGGGGAACCCUGAUCCAGCCAUGCCGCGUGUGUGAAGAAGGCCUUAUGGUUGUAAAGCACUUUAAGCGAGGAGGAGGCUACUGAGACUAAUACUCUUGGAUAGUGGACGUUACUCGCAGAAUAAGCACCGGCUAACUCUGUGCCAGCAGCCGCCGUAA